AGAGUUUGAUUAUGGCUCAGGAUGAACGCUAGCGACAGGCUUAACACAUGCAAGUCGAGGGGCAGCGCGGUGGUAGCAAUACUACUGGCGGCGACCGGCGCACUGGUGAGUAACACGUAUGCGACCUGCCCCGGACAGGGGGAUAAACCCGGGAAACUGGGCCUAAUACCCCAUAAGCCUUGAGGCUGCAUGGUCUUGAGGUGAAAGAUCCGUCGGUCCGGGAUGGGCAUGCGGCGCAUUAGCUAGUUGGCGGGGCAACGGCCCACCAAGGCGACGAUGCGUAGGGGUUCUGAGAGGAAGGUCCCCCACACUGGUACUGAGACACGGACCAGACUCCUACGGGAGGCAGCGGUGAGGAAUAUUGGUCAAUGGACGGUGGUCUGAACCAGCCAAGUCGCGUGCGGGAUGAAGGCCCUCCGGGUCGUAAACCGCUUUAGCCGGGGAGUAACGUGCGGCACGUGUGCCGCAGUGAGAGUACCCGGAGAAUAAGCAUCGGCUAACUCCGUGCCAGCCGCCGC
Molecule: ribosomal RNA, 518 nt
Filed under: uncultured bacterium
Lineage: Bacteria
Description: bacterial SSU rRNA
Rfam family: Bacterial small subunit ribosomal RNA
Source: RNAcentral